CCUCAAGCCCUGUAACUUUUCUAAACUGUCUAAACUGAUGACCUACAUUGUGGAAAAGAAUGUUACCUCGGGUUGGGAAUGUGGCUUAGCAGUAGUACUUGCCUAGCAUGCACGAAGCCCUGGGUUCAAUUCCUCAGCACCACAUAAACAGAAAAGGCCGGGAGUGGCGCUGUGGCUCAAGAGGUAG
Molecule: long non-coding RNA, 187 nt
Organism: Perognathus longimembris pacificus (Pacific pocket mouse)
Lineage: Eukaryota; Metazoa; Chordata; Mammalia; Rodentia; Heteromyidae
Exons: 3
Source: RefSeq, a predicted model, not a curated record